This 468-nucleotide ribosomal RNA is filed under the name uncultured bacterium. RNAcentral's name for it is "partial 16S ribosomal RNA". It matches the Rfam family "Bacterial small subunit ribosomal RNA", at positions 28 to 507 of the family's 1533-position model. The record is from RNAcentral.
GACGAACGCUGGCGGCGUGCUUAACACAUGCAAGUCGAACGGAAAGGCCCUGCUUUUGUGGGGUGCUCGAGUGGCGAACGGGUGAGUAACACGUGAGUAACCUGCCCUUGACUUUGGGAUAACUUCAGGAAACUGGGGCUAAUACCGGAUAGGAGCUCCUGCUGCAUGGUGGGGGUUGGAAAGUUUCGGCGGUUGGGGAUGGACUCGCGGCUUAUCAGCUUGUUGGUGGGGUAGUGGCUUACCAAGGCUUUGACGGGUAGCCGGCCUGAGAGGGUGACCGGCCACAUUGGGACUGAGAUACGGCCCAGACUCCUACGGGACGCAGCAGUGGGGAAUAUUGCACAAUGGGCGGAAGCAUGAUGCAGCAACGCCGCGUGCGGGAUGACGGCCUUCGGGUUGUAAACCGCUUUCGCCUGUGACGAAGCGUGAGUGACGGUAAUGGGUAAAGAAGCACCGGCUAACUACGUG